GAGAGCGGCGGACGGGUGAGUAAUGCCUAGGAAUCUGCCUGGUAGUGGGGGAUAACGUUCGGAAACGGACGCUAAUACCGCAUACGCCCUACGGGGGAAAGAUUUAUCGGGGUAUGAUGAGCCCGCGUUGGAUUAGCUAGUUGGUGGGGUAAAGGCCUACCAAGGCGACGAUCCAUAGCUGGUCUGAGAGGAUGAUCAGCCACAUUGGGACUGAGACACGGCCCAAACUCCUACGGGAGGCAGCAGUGGGGAAUAUUGGACAAUGGGCGCAAGCCUGAUCCAGCCAUGCCGCGUGAGUGAUGAAGGCCUUAGGGUUGUAAAGCUCUUUCACCGGAGAAGAUAAUGACGGUAUCCGGAGAAGAAGCCCCGGCUAACUUCGUGCCAGCAGCCGCGGUAAUACGAAGGGGGCUAGCGUUGUUCGGAAUUACUGGGCGUAAAGCGCACGUAGGCGGAUAUUUAAGUCAGGGGUGAAAUCCCAGAGCUCAACUCUGGAACUGC
Molecule: ribosomal RNA, 498 nt
Filed under: uncultured bacterium
Lineage: Bacteria
Description: bacterial SSU rRNA
Rfam family: Bacterial small subunit ribosomal RNA
Source: RNAcentral